Molecule: transfer RNA, 74 nt
Organism: Terriglobus roseus
Lineage: Bacteria; Pseudomonadati; Acidobacteriota; Terriglobia; Terriglobales; Acidobacteriaceae
Rfam family: tRNA
About the family: Transfer RNA (tRNA) molecules are approximately 80 nucleotides in length. Their secondary structure includes four short double-helical elements and three loops (D, anti-codon, and T loops).
Source: Rfam
GGCGGUGUAGCUCAGAUGGUUAGAGCGACGGACUCAUAACCCGUAGGUCACUGGUUCGAUUCCAGUCACCGCCA